Molecule: ribosomal RNA, 571 nt
Filed under: uncultured bacterium
Lineage: Bacteria
Description: partial 16S ribosomal RNA
Rfam family: Bacterial small subunit ribosomal RNA
Source: RNAcentral
UGGGGAAUUUUGGACAAUGGGCGAAAGCCUGAUCCAGCAAUGCCGCGUGUGUGAAGAAGGCCUUCGGGUUGUAAAGCACUUUUGUCCGGAAAGAAAUCCUUGGCUCUAAUACAGUCGGGGGAUGACGGUACCGGAAGAAUAAGCACCGGCUAACUACGUGCCAGCAGCCGCGGUAAUACGUAGGGUGCAAGCGUUAAUCGGAAUUACUGGGCGUAAAGCGUGCGCAGGCGGUUUGCUAAGACCGAUGUGAAAUCCCCGGGCUCAACCUGGGAACUGCAUUGGUGACUGGCAGGCUAGAGUAUGGCAGAGGGGGGUAGAAUUCCACGUGUAGCAGUGAAAUGCGUAGAGAUGUGGAGGAAUACCGAUGGCGAAGGCAGCCCCCUGGGCCAAUACUGACGCUCAUGCACGAAAGCGUGGGGAGCAAACAGGAUUAGAUACCCUGGUAGUCCACGCCCUAAACGAUGUCAACUAGUUGUUGGGGAUUCAUUUCCUUAGUAACGUAGCUAACGCGUGAAGUUGACCGCCUGGGGAGUACGGUCGCAAGAUUAAAACUUAAAGGAAUUGACGGGGU